UGCGUAAUUAAGCUGCCUCGUCCGAGACGGUUUGAAUUCAUAUUUCAUUGCAGGUUAAGUUGUAUCGAAUAUCUCAGUUUUUUUAGUCCAAUACAUUUUAAAUAUUAUAUUUAAUAUUAUUUGUUGUGUACACUGUUGCAGCCGAGCACAAGCUAACGUUAGCUAGCUAUCUUGCUAGCUAACGUUAGCUAACGUUAUUUAACUUGCUAGCUAAAACUGCUAACAGCAUGGACGAACUUGAUGACGUCACGGUGUCGACUUUAAGAGGUAACGUAGUCAAAUAUACAUUUUUAACGUGGUUAUUAAUUUUUCGUCAUAUUUAUUAUGCACCAGUAACACCAAGAAAAAUCCCUUUUAAGUAAAAACCUACUUUGCAAUACUUAUGAUUCAUCAGAGAGGUUAAGAUCAGCUACAUUUAAACAGAUUAAGACUCGCAGUCCUCUCUAUAAAAUCGGUAGUAACUCUUAAUUCUGAACAGAUUUGAAUGGAAUGGUUUUAUUAUAAAUUGGAUAAAUUUAACUUUAUACUGGUUACGUGUUUCAAUUAAAUCCAGUUACUGGGGUGGAUCUACUCUGUUCUAUUAUACUAAAACAUUCGGAAUAACCACAACUUAAAAUAUAAAUUAUUUAGAAUGUAUGCUUUUAUGAGUUUCUAAAAAAUGUAGAUUGCUAUAUACAUUCAGUAAAUUUGAAUUAAAAUUGCUUCAGAAUUAAGAGAGUUACGACUGAUUAAAAUGUUUAAUUUACCACUCUGAUGUGAUGCAUAAUCCACUGAGGUAUGUCAUUUCUUUAUCUAUUGUUAUAUCAUGUGUAUUUACAUUUUUUGAUGAUGAAGUUCAUUCAUUUUCUGCUUGUUUAGUAAGUAUUUAUUUAACACCAUAAGGCAAUCACUAAACCUACCUUCAUUAUCACUAAAAGGAGAAUAUUAACACAAACUAUUUAGGAUUAUUGUUAUAACCUUAGUGGAGUUGUCAAUGCUGCAUCACAAUUUGUGUUAAGACAGUAUAAAUUAAAAGUUGCUUUUACAAAUACUUAAUUAUCUUUUAUUUUACAGGAAACUGUAGACUCAAAAUCAACGAGCAGUUCUACUUCUAUGAUUGGGUCACCCCUAUCUCAGACAUCCACUCAAGUAAAAAGAUGUCCCGCAAAGCACACAACACCUGAAAAUGUUGUGAAGUUAUCCUUCCCCGAAUAUGUAUUGCACACUGACACCAAACUAGAGCAAUGCCGAAAACAAUAUUUUGAGUUGGCGAAGGCCGGCGAAGAGAGAAACUGCCAAAUGUCAAAGGACCUCAGAUGUCGGCUCAUCCGAAACACCAUGACCAGUAUGAUCGCAAUCCUGAGGGCAACGGGGGACAGAGACAGAUACCCGUCAAAGCCAGAAAUAACAGCUAUGGCAAAGCGAACAGUGCUGUACUACCCCAUGCUGCAGGACCGAGACCUGAGCAGCAAGUAUGCAUGGGUAGGUCAAAUGCAUCCAGGUGCAUGUUUGAUGUUUGAAGCAUUUAUUUGAAUUUUUCUUGUCACAGGUUACUGUGUACUCACAGCUAUACAAAAGAUUGAAAAAUUUGAGAUCACCCCAAAAGACCAAUCCAAAGAGGCGCCGACUCGAGGAGCUAAAGUGCCAACCUGACUGACCCAGAUGAAUUUGAUUCAAGUGACUCAACAGUCAUUCUGGAUCUCCCCUCAAAAGGGGGUAGCAUUCAAGCAUUCAAGACUUCCCUUCUGAAGGGAGUAGCACCCCAGACUCGGGCAACAAUGCCAGAUAUGCCCGCAUCUUUGCGUAAGAAGAAAACUCCAAACCGUGAGUCCGUCUCUCAGCUCCUGGAUUUGGAAUUUUCAGCCAGAAGAGCAUUCAUUGAUUCUUUUUGCGAGGAGGACAGACACAAGAAAAUUCCAGAGGACAUUGGACAUGUGAUGGAGGAGCUUCAACGCAUUCUGGACAAAAAUAACAUCCAUUACAUUGAUGAGCUGAAGGGAAGAUGGGACGACUUCUGCCAGAAGGUGCAGUUUUUUGGUGUGUGGAAAAAGCUGCUGAAACCCUCAGUAGGAAUGGACAAAGGCUCUCAGUAUCCUACGUGUGCUGCCUUCAUUGUCCCCCUCUUCAUCUGCUCCUCUGAAGAAGUUAGGACAUGUGAGUGAGGCUCUUGUGCAUGUCCUCGAGGAAAAAGAAGACCCCAAUGACUAUUUGAAGAAACGUCGUCUCUCCUGCCCAGUCCUUAUUGUGAGUUUGUCCAACUGCCUCCUGGCUGUAGGAGAUGUGCUGAUAACUACGCUCCCAAAAGACAAGGUAACACAGGGUGUUUUAUACCUUACGGCCUACUAUUAUGCUCUACACCUUACUUACCCCAGGUGCGUAGCCACUCUGCUCUCUGUCAUAAAAACGGAGGUUCUCUUGGACACAAUCCAUGAGCGAGACCUCACACCAUCUUUCAAGAAGGGCAUGGCUGACUGGAAAGCCUUUGUUGGCAAGUAAAGCCGUUUCCAUUCUUAUUUAGCAAAUGUUUCCCAAUGUUAAGGUCGCAAUAAUAACAAUGUUGUUGAUCUAUUGAGGGACACAGUGGUCAAAUAUUUAUGUUAAUGUUAGCCCAAGACCCAUAACUUGUUGCAAUAAUAAGCACAUUGUAAGUGUAUUGAGGAGACAGAGGUCAGAUGAUUAUGUCUGACUGUAAUCCAUGUGUUACACAUAUAUGUCAUGUUUUGCUAUGUUUUUUUACUAUUAUUAGUAUUUUAUUACAGUGCCAUACACACUGCGCCAAAACAUGACUGGUGCUGCAGGCACAGUGUAACUGACUGACUGCACUGUAUUGUAAGAAUUGUUUGCUCCCUCCUGCAUUUCAGAGCUAAAGAGGCAUGCUCUUUCUUAUGCAAAUAAAAUAUUUGUUUGUUUAAUGCACAACUUGUUUUCAUUGAAGUAUGCGUUUGUCUUAAAUUUAGAACAGUAUCACUAUUGUAGAGCUAACAUUAAGUUAAAAGCACUUGAAUUUAGAUUAGUUAUGAUACAAAAGCACUUCUUAUGAGUAAAACAAUGCAUAAUAUGAGUAUUUCCAGCUAACUUCAAGACAUUUUUUAUCCUAAAAUGCUUAAAUAAUCACUUUUUAAUCUUAUUUCAAGUUGGUGGUGGUCUAAAAUCUAGGACAAUGUCACUAUUUUAGAACUUUAAAUGAGUUAAAUACACUUGAAAUAAGAGGGAUGCCAUGAACAGUGAAAAAAUAAAAAGCUACUUUUGAGCAUUUCAAGCUUAUUAUGAUACACAACACUUUCUAAUACUAGUAAAAUAUAGCUCAAAAUAAGUUUACCUGGCUAAUUUCAAGAUCAAUUCCUAUCUCAAAAGUCCUAAAUAUUACAUCUUAUUUCAAGAAAUCUUGACAAGCCGAUUUUCACUAGUUCCAUUGGCAGAUUUUUUUGCUUAUUUCAAGCAAAAACGUCUCGUAUUUGUUGUUUUUUUACUUAUUUUUGGAGGGGCAUUUUUUCCAGUG
Gasterosteus aculeatus aculeatus (three-spined stickleback) is the source of this 3478-nucleotide long non-coding RNA. NCBI's taxonomy places the organism in Eukaryota, Metazoa, Chordata, Actinopteri, Perciformes, Gasterosteidae. The record is from Ensembl.